AUGGCGCGCCUCUCCUGCCGCCGCUUCCUCCUCUCGCUCCACGUCGCGCUGCUGCUGCUAGUCCCCUGCACCUGCCAGGUCGGGGAUUCGUGCUCGGCGGCCCGCGACUGCGGGGUGGGCCUCUACUGCGGCGAUUGCGCCGCCGCCGGCCGGACGCGGCCGUCCUGCAUCAGGGACCUGGCCAUCCAGCCCACCUCCAUCGUGAAGGGGCUGCCAUUUAACAGGUACUCAUGGCUGGUGACCCAUAAUUCAUUCUCCAUCGUCGGCGAGCCGUCACGCACCGGGGUUGAGAGGGUUACAUUCUACAACCAGGAAGACACUGUCACCAACCAACUCAGGAAUGGAGUGAGGGGAUUGAUGCUGGAUAUGUAUGACUUCGGUGGGGAUGUCUGGCUCUGCCACUCCUUGCAAGGGCAAUGCUACAACUUCACUGCUUUCGAACCAGCAAUUGACACGUUGAAAGAGGUGGAAGCAUUUCUAUCCGAGAAUCCCACGGAGAUUGUUACAAUAUUCAUCGAGGAUUACGUACAUGCCCCGAUGAGAUUGAGCAAAUUGUUUACUGCUGCUGACUUGAUGAAGUAUUGGUACCCUAUCUCAGAAAUGCCAACGAGUGGGCAGGAGUGGCCCACCGUCACAGAUAUGGUUGCAAAGAACCACAGGUUGCUUGUGUUUACUUCCGAUGCUUCAAAGGAGUCUAGCGAAGGAAUAGCUUACCAGUGGAGUUAUUUGCUGGAGAAUGAGUCUGGAGAUCCGGGUAUUGACCCUAGCGCUUGUCCAAACAGAAAGGAAUCACAGCCACUAAACUCAAGAUCUGCGUCUCUAUUUAUGCAAAAUUAUUUCCCCACAAUUCCUGUUGAGAGUGAAGCAUGCAAAGAGAAUUCUGUUGGACUACCUCAGAUGGUCCAAACUUGCUAUGCUGCAGCUGGAAAUAGAAUCCCGAACUACAUAGCUGUGAAUUUUUACAUGCGAAGCGACGGUGGUGGUGUUUUUGAUGUUCAGGACAGAAUCAACGGCCUUACGCUAUGUGGUUGCAACACCAUUGCUGCUUGCCAGGCUGGGGCACCAACGGGCGCAUGCAAGAACACUGGAGCACCUAAUCGAACUACCUCUUCUGUAAACGGGAACGUCUAUUCAGGAACUAUAGAAUUCAAGACUUCUGCUUCAAGGGCCAGCAGUACUUCCACCUGGAGCAACUUGGUUAUUUCGCUAAGUCUUGCUUUGAUUCUUAAGCCAUUUUGA
Molecule: ribosomal RNA, 1239 nt
Filed under: Triticum aestivum (bread wheat)
Lineage: Eukaryota; Viridiplantae; Streptophyta; Magnoliopsida; Poales; Poaceae
Description: partial small subunit ribosomal RNA
Source: RNAcentral